UAUUAAAAAUUUCAUAUAUUUUUAUUAUUAAAAAAUGACGUGACAGAUAGAAUAAUUAGAUAAUUUCAUGUGGAGUGCCACGCAUUACUCAUUUUGACAUAAAGGGACUAAUUUUUAAUGUAGAAAUUAAUGAAAUUUUUAACA
Non-coding RNA from Gossypium hirsutum (cotton), 144 nucleotides. The record is from Rfam. NCBI's taxonomy places the organism in Eukaryota, Viridiplantae, Streptophyta, Magnoliopsida, Malvales, Malvaceae.